GCGGCCGCGGUAGCUCAACGGCAGAGCACGACAUCGGCCAUCUGCACCCCUUAUCCGUCGCGCCAUCCCGCUCCGUCCCAGCGGCGGGUCGCCGUUCGUGGGUUAUCUGGUUGCGCGCGUUCGAAUCGCGCCCGCUCGC
RNAcentral lists this transfer RNA (139 nucleotides) under Chloroflexota bacterium. RNAcentral describes it as "tRNA-OTHER". Lineage: Bacteria; Bacillati; Chloroflexota. The record is from RNAcentral.